RNAcentral lists this ribosomal RNA (4791 nucleotides) under Triticum aestivum (bread wheat). RNAcentral's name for it is "partial small subunit ribosomal RNA". The record is from RNAcentral. Lineage: Eukaryota; Viridiplantae; Streptophyta; Magnoliopsida; Poales; Poaceae.
AUGUACAGCUCCUACUCCGCCGCCGCCUUCGCCCUUAGGGCCGCGAAGCCAGCCUAUAGCUCCCAUUCCCCUUAUGCCCCGUCGCACCACUGCAGCCAACAGCACUACGACGGUGACGGUGCUCACCGUGAGCUACUCCCGCUCAACCCUCACCUCUCUCCCCGCUUCCUGCUCGACGGGUACCUCCUCCGCCACUCUGCUCACCUCCUCCUCCUCUCCGCUCGGCUCCAGCCCCCGCCCCCGCCUCCGCCUCAUCCGCCGCACAGCUGCUGCCACCGGCGUGCGGCCGUCCGCUGCUGCUGCAGCGGCGGCGGCGGCGGCGGAAGGUCAUAUGUUCAGCAUGUUACUUGGGGAUUGGAGGGGCGCGGGUACCGAUGCUGCGGGCAGGGCGCUGGACGGUCGGAUCUUGGAGUGGGUUGCCGGCGAUUGAAGGCGCGGGGAUGCGGUUGUGGCAGCUACGGCAGCGGCAGGUUAGGUCUUGGCACUAGCUGUGGACAUGGGGAUACGCCGAGGUUGCUCGGGAGGGCGGUGCGGCAGGAGGUGUGGGAGUAUGAGGGUGGCCAGUGGCCGCACAGAAGUUGUUCGAUGGAAUGCCACAGCGAUUGGGAUGGUGAAGAGGAUGAGGAUCAAUGUGGUCACGCUCAGUGGGAGCGGCCAGGUAAGUCGAGUUUUAGAAGGAAGUGGAAAGAAGAAGAAGAAGAUGAAGAUGAUAGAUGUAGAGAUUGCCGUCGGAGGAAGGGUGUGGAAAAUGAGUACUAUGAUGAAGGCGGGUACAGUGGCCGACGGAGGGAAAUUCGGGAUGUGAAUGGGAUGCAUGACAGGCAUCGGUAUCAUCGGAGGAGGUUGGAGCAGAGGGGUUACAUCGACGAUGAGGAUACAAGGCGAAGAAGCGAUCUGAUGAAAGGGAGCGACAGGAGUGAGUUUGAAUCUGAUGAGGCAAGGAAUGCUGGUGCUAGAAGAUACAGUGAAAAUGACAGGAAAUAUGAUCGGAGAAGAGAAAGAAGGGAUUCUGAAUAUGAGGAUGUGUAUGAUGCUAGAAGAUUGGGAGCUGGCAGGUAUAAUGAGGAUGACCGAAGAUUUGAUCGGAGAACAGGGAGGAUGGAUUUUGAAAUCGACAGUGAGGAUGAUGUGAGAAGAGAUGGCGUUAGAAAUGAUGAUGAAAGAUUUGUUAUUCAGAACACAAGGAGAAAGAAGUAUAUGGAGGAGGAUGAUCAAGAUAUUGCUGAGCGUAAGAACUACUCACAUGGUAGGUCCCAGAGGUCUGCAUCUGCAUUUCAUGAGGAUGAUUCACAGAGAGCUUCGAGUUCAAGGAACACUGUUGAUACAAGAGUUUCAAGGGGGAAUUCAUCCUCGAGGGUGCGGUGGGAUGAUAAUGUAGACCGACGAGCUUCACAGACAUUGGAAGAGAGAGGCCGACGCUAUUCUUCCUCAGUUGGUUUGUCAAAUGAUGAGAAAGAUGAGUACAGUUAUGAUGAUGGACAACUUGUCAGGGUAAGAGAUCAUAGGACAGGAACACAAGAUGUCAAGGUUAUAACCGAGGAUGAUACGAGGUUGAUUUCCAGUUCAAAGAACUCUUCCAUUUUGAAGCACAAUAGCGAUGUGGACCAGCAAGUAGCGGCACAAAAGGAUGAAUCAAAGAGCUCACAGAGGAUAGUGGAGACAUCAGUAAACAGAGGUAACAACGCUGAACUGGAUUCAGAAACACGGAUUAAUCAACUGGAAGAUAGAAGAAACUACAUUGAUAAUAAGUCAUCUUCUCUUCAAAGUUCUGUAAAGAUGGCUAGUGACAGUAGAAGACAAAUUGAUCAGCAUGAUGUGGUGGAUCAGCAGGUUGUCGCACUCACUGAUUCAAGGACAAACACAGAAAAGCUCACAGAUAUAAAGAUGGAUAGUAGUCAACAUGUUAGCAGGGCCUCUCACUCACAGAGAAAUUAUGAGGAAGUCAACCAGAUGGAUAUCGAUGAUAGAUCUACCUCUGUAGAAAAUACAACUCAUAUUACAAGAGACAAAAGGAGGUAUGUAAACCAGCAGGUGAUACAUGAAACGGACAUAGAUGUGCAGAAUGUUACACAUGUUGAUGUUUCCACAAUUCAUGCUAGUGAUAUUUCUGCCUCUAGGAGCUCACAAAAUCAUUCUGAUACUAGAUCAGAUGUAAACUCUAUCUCUAGCAUAAGUCUCAUUGACCGAGCAAGGGGCGAGCAAGAACAAAUCCAUCAAAACAAGGUCAUUGCUGGAGAUAAUACAAUAGUCAGGGGUUCACAGAGUCAUCAUGACACUGGAGUGUAUUGUCAAGUUCACUCGGCUUCAGUUAUUGACAGCACAAAAGAGAUGCAAGAACAAGCGGAACUUACUAAGGCCCGUAUUAACAAUGUUGCUACAACAAGUACUUCAGAAAGCCAUAUCCAAACAAGAAUAUAUGAUCGAUUUCAGCCAUCCUCAUCUGUAAACACUGUUAGUAGUGUGAAGGAACAAAUUGAUCUUACUAAGAUCCAUGCUAGUGACACUGCGGUUGUUAGCAAUACGCAUAAUCGAAGCAACAAUGAAGCUCGUAGGACUUCAGCCCUCAAUAUUGUGGAGGCAAGGGAUAGCCGUGAUGAGAGUGAUCUGCAAAUUACACAAGGUUCUGGUAUAGACAGAAGCAAUCAAGUUGGGACCACAUUUUCCGAAUCCUCUCAGGAUUCUAGAGAAAGACUGACAAGAGUAGAAGAAACCGGGAGAUUAGUGCAGCAUGACACAGUUUUGAACUCGCAGCAUACAGGCACCAGCAGAAUCUCUGAUGACAAAGAUAUUACUAGUUUGGGGAUCGAGAGCACCGAAGAGGCAUCUAUCACUAAUGUAGAUAUGGAGCAAAGAGGAACAAUACUGGGAAGGUCUGAAACUACCGCAAGAGAAAAUAUACAAGGUGGUUCAUCUACCAGAAAGUCUGUCAACGAAAGCGUGUUAGAAUCAGCUGCUCGAUUAGAGAAAUCGUCUACAUUUCAUGUAGGCCAAUUCGUUAGUGAGCUCCAAAGAGGAGUCUCAGAUGCAGAUACUACUUCAACAAAGAAAACCGAGAAGUCCAUACUGGAAGGUACAACGAGAUCUUCAUCCAGGUCCAGAAUGAAGGGACCAUCAGAUGAGGUUUGGGAUGUUCAAAGUACUACUUCUCAAGAGACCUGUAAGACGGCAGAUAAGGAGGAAGGGUUCUCAGCUGAUGGAGGUACCAAUUCAGCCUCUCAGACACCCAAAAGUGAAACUGCUAUUGCUAAAAAGGUUCACAAGUCACUUUGGGCCUAUGUUGCAGACAUAGUCCGUCUUGGUUGGGUUAAGCAUGGUGAAUCUCAUGACUCUACCAGCAAAUCAUUUAGGAAAAGUUCAUCCAGUAAUUCUCAGAGGUCGGAGGGUUGGCUGUCAAGUCAGGGGCAUGAUAAUGACGGCAUUCAAAAGAGAAAUUGGAGUAGCAAACAAAAUGAUCAUUCAUUGAUUAAGUCACACAGUGGAGAAUCAGAAUCUAUAGUAGCAUCAACGCUAAAGGAUGAAAGCUUGCCUACAGGUACACAAGGCUUGCAAAUAUCAGGAGCCGGCAAUGUACCUGAAGUAGGUGGAUCCAAAAGAGACUCCGUACCCAAAAUAACCAAGGAUGAUGUGCAGAUUUCAGGGGAGAGAGCAAAACAGUCUGAAGUGGGUGCAUCACCCAAAGGAAAUACCAUCGGAAGCUCAGCUGAGGAUAGCAUAUCAACUUUGGUAGAUGUCACAGUGGGACAUUCACCUGAACAUGAAGCUGCUAGUUCAUCCGGAAUCUCAACUCAGGGUUCCACUGAAAUUAAUGCUGGAAAAGGAGUCUCAGCCGGCACCUCUUCUACGACCAUCAAAGAUAAGGAAGCUGGUCGCAGUGACGAUGCAGGUAGCUGGAGAUAUGGACCUUCAGUUGCUAUAACACCUUACCAGUUUCCUCAGACCCAGGCAAUGGUACCACAUGAAAAUACCUCAUCUGCUUUCUCAGAAUUAACAGAAUUACCUAGUGGUGGUUCCACUGGGAUGAAAGAGAAGAUUGUUGGGCAUAAGGCCCCUGAAGUUUUAAGAACAGAAGAUAAAGAUGCUGAGCUGAAGAGGAGAAAGAUUCAGAGAAAUAAGCAGGUAUUGAAGGAAACGUUUGAUGAAUGGGAGGAAGCAUACCAGCAUGAUGCUAAACAGAGAAAGACUGAUGAACUAUUCAUGAAGGAGGCUUUACUUGAAGCUCAGAGGGCUGCAGAUAUAUGGGAAGUGCCAGUUGGAGCUGUGCUAGUACAUAAUGGUGAAAUUAUUGCUCGUGGUUGCAAUCUAGUUGAAGAUCUCAGGGAUUCAACUGCACAUGCUGAAAUUGUUUGUAUAAGAGAAGCUUCUAGCAAACUUAAGACGUGGCGCCUGGCGGAUACAACACUUUAUGUGACACUGGAACCUUGUGCAAUGUGUGCUGGUGCUAUUCUUCAAGCAAGAGUUGACACUGUAGUAUGGGGAGCCCCGAACAAGCUUCUUGGAGCCGAUGGAAGCUGGGUUAGGCUUUUCCCUGGAGAUGGGCAAACAAGCACAUUGGAUCCAUCGAACCAGAAGCAAACUGCCGGGCCUGUGCACCCAUUCCAUCCAAAGAUAAUCGUAAGGCGUGGUGUCCUCUCCACUGAGUGCUCAGAGAUAAUGCAGCAGUUCUUCCAGCUGAGGAGGAAGAAGAAGAGGGCAGACUCGCCACCUCGUGCGCACUACUCGGGGCAUCGCCACCAUCCGAUCAAGUUUUUCACCAAGAUGCAACACAUGUUCGGCACCGUUUUCUGUUUAUAG